CGUGUAGGCGGUUGGUCAAGUCGGGUGUGAAAGCCCGGGGCUCAGCCUCGGAAGUGCAUCCGAAACUAGCCAGCUAGAGCGCGAUAGAGGAGGGUGGAAUUCCUGGUGUAGCGGUGAAAUGCGUAGAUAUCAGGAGGAACACCGGCGGCGAAGGCGGCCCUCUGGGUCGUUGCUGACGCUGAGACGCGAAAGCGUGGGGGGCAAACAGGAUUAGAUACCCUGGUAGUCCACGCUAUAAACGAUGGGUACUAGGUGUUCGGGGUGUUGACCCCCUGAGUGCCGCAGCUAACGCAUUAAGUACCCCGCCUGGGGACUACGGCCGCAAGGUUAAA
RNAcentral lists this ribosomal RNA (332 nucleotides) under uncultured bacterium. Its description in RNAcentral is "bacterial SSU rRNA". It matches the Rfam family "Bacterial small subunit ribosomal RNA", at positions 568 to 898 of the family's 1533-position model. The record is from RNAcentral.